AUACUUACCUGGCAAGGGAGAAACUGUGAUCAAGAAGGCAGUUCACCCAGGGUGAGGCUCAGCCAUUGCACUCCGGCUGUGCUGACCCCUGCGAAUUUCCCAAAUGUGGAAAUCUCGAUUGCAUAAUUUAUGGUAGUAGUGGGGGACUGCGUUCGCGCUCUCCCCUG
Molecule: small nuclear RNA, 167 nt
Organism: Oncorhynchus tshawytscha (Chinook salmon)
Lineage: Eukaryota; Metazoa; Chordata; Actinopteri; Salmoniformes; Salmonidae
Gene: U1
Rfam family: U1 spliceosomal RNA
About the family: U1 is a small nuclear RNA (snRNA) component of the spliceosome (involved in pre-mRNA splicing).
Source: Ensembl